Molecule: ribosomal RNA, 691 nt
Filed under: Gyrodinium sp. 5 AR-2015
Lineage: Eukaryota; Dinophyceae; Gymnodiniales; Gymnodiniaceae
Description: LSU rRNA
Rfam family: Eukaryotic large subunit ribosomal RNA
Source: RNAcentral
UCCCUUAGUAAUGGCGAAUGAACAGGGAUGAGCUCAGCAUUAAAAUCUGGGCCCCCGGCCUUGAAUUGUAAUCUCGAGAAGUGCAACCAACGGCGGCGCAGGUGUAAGCCUCUUGGAAAAGAGCACCAAUGAGGGUGAGAGUCCCGUUUGUCAUCUGCAGUCCUCCGUGUACGGUGUGCUUUCUAAGAGUCACGUUCCUCGGGCUUGGAGCGCCAAAGGUGGUAAAUUUCAUCUAAAGCUAAAUAUAGGUUUGAGACCGAUAGCAAACAAGUACCAUGAGGGAAAGAUGAAAAGGACUUUGGAAAGAGAGUUAAAAGUGCCUGAAAUCGCUGAAAGGGAAGCGAAUGGAACCAGUGUUUCUUGCAGAGCUUGCUGGGAGUAAUCCGGAUAGUGCCUUGAUUUCAGCGCAAGCGUUUCAGGGUUCUUUGAAGGUGCAUUCUUGGUGCCGCUCUGCUUGCUUGUCAACGUCAAUUUGGAGUUGGGGAAAACUCUUGGGGAAUGGGAGCCUGGUCUCGGCUGGGUGAACGCCUCUUGUAGAACUCAUCUCUGGAUUGAAGUGCUUGCGUUUGGUUGCAAUGCCUCACUCUGUGCCAGCUGCCCUGGGAAAUUCAGCAGGUGCGCGGUGCUUAUCAGUGGGUGCGUUCCUUGACGCUACGAUGCUGACAAAAUGGUUUCACUCGACCCGUCUUGA